RNAcentral lists this ribosomal RNA (484 nucleotides) under uncultured bacterium. RNAcentral's name for it is "bacterial SSU rRNA". It matches the Rfam family "Bacterial small subunit ribosomal RNA", at positions 30 to 507 of the family's 1533-position model. The record is from RNAcentral.
AUUGAACGCUGGCGGAAUGCUUUACACAUGCAAGUCGAACGGUAGAGGGGGCAACCCCUUGAGAGUGGCGAACGGGUGAGUAAUAUAUCGGAACGUGCCCAGUCGUGGGGGAUAACGUAGCGAAAGUUACGCUAAUACCGCAUACGAUCUACGGAUGAAAGCGGGGGACUCGCAAGAGCCUCGCGCGAUUGGAGCGGCCGAUAUCAGAUUAGGUAGUUGGUGGGGUAAAGGCUCACCAAGCCAACGAUCUGUAGCUGGUCUGAGAGGACGACCAGCCACACUGGAACUGAGACACGGUCCAGACUCCUACGGGAGGCAGCAGUGGGGAAUUUUGGACAAUGGACGCAAGUCUGAUCCAGCCAUUCCGCGUGCAGGAUGAAGGCCCUCGGGUUGUAAACUGCUUUUGUACGGUAACGAAAAGGUCUCGUAUUAAUACUGGGGGCUCAUGACGGUACCGUAAGAAUAAGCACCGGCUAACUACGUG